UAGGCACUGGACCGUAAUUCAACACUCCGGGAUCGGCUUUGUUUAGAAAGAUCUUGACAGAACCGCUUCCCAGAAGUUAUCAGAAUGAUUGUGUCGACAAUUUUUCUCAGUUUAUUACUGACUUUCUUAUCAUGUGUCCAGUCGGAGGUUGUUUUGACCCAGCCAGAGGCAGAGACUGGCCAUCCCGGAAGCAGCCUGACACUGACCUGUAAAACCAGCGGGUUCGAUCUCAGCAGCAGCUACAUGAGCUGGGUCCGCCAGGUUCCCGGCCAGGGUCUGGAGUGGCUGGUUAGCUACUAUAGUUCAUCCAGCAAUAACUAUGCACCAGCGAUUCAGGGUCGAUUUACUGCGUCCAAAGACAAUUCAAACAACAUUUUCUCGUUGAAAAUGACUAACCUGAAGAUCGAAGACACCGCCAUCUAUUACUGUGCAAGAGACCACAGCGAGAGGAACCAGGGCUGAACCCGUUCAAAAACAGCUCGAGGGAACAUUUUGUCAAUUCCAUCAUAAACUGAUGGUCAGUUUGAGUUUUAAAUGCAAUUAUACCAACUGCGAUCUGAAGCAGACCUCAGGCUGCCUCUUACAAAGCUAUCAAAGAGGAAAUGUACCAUUGAAACUAGCAAACUGGUGACACAAUGGGACAAUGUUUUAGG
Molecule: non-coding RNA, 653 nt
Organism: Hemiscyllium ocellatum (epaulette shark)
Lineage: Eukaryota; Metazoa; Chordata; Chondrichthyes; Orectolobiformes; Hemiscylliidae
Source: the annotation of a RefSeq genome assembly